RNAcentral lists this small RNA (124 nucleotides) under Marmota monax (woodchuck). The record is from RNAcentral. Lineage: Eukaryota; Metazoa; Chordata; Mammalia; Rodentia; Sciuridae.
GCCGGGAGUGGUGUGCACACCUGUAAUCUCAGCAGCUCAGGAGGCUGAGACAGGAGGAUCAUGAGUUCAAAGCCAGCCUCAGUAAAAGCAAGGAACUAAGCAACUCAGUGAGACCCUGUCUCUA